RNAcentral lists this ribosomal RNA (424 nucleotides) under uncultured bacterium. RNAcentral describes it as "bacterial SSU rRNA". It matches the Rfam family "Bacterial small subunit ribosomal RNA", at positions 355 to 796 of the family's 1533-position model. The record is from RNAcentral.
UGGGGAAUUUUGCGCAAUGGGGGAAACCCUGACGCAGCAACGCCGCGUGGAGGAUGAAGUAUCUUGGUACGUAAACUCCUUUCGAUGGGGAAGAUAAUGACGGUACCCAUAGAAGAAGCCCCGGCUAACUUCGUGCCAGCAGCCGCGGUAAUACGAGGGGGGCAAGCGUUGUUCGGAAUUAUUGGGCGUAAAGGGUGCGUAGGCGGUUUGAUAAGUCUGAUGUGAAAUCUCUGGGCUCAACCCAGAGUCUGCAUUAGAAACUGUCGGGCUUGAGUAUGGGAGAGGUGAGUGGAAUUUCCGGUGUAGCGGUGAAAUGCGUAGAUAUCGGAAGGAACACCUGUGGCGAAAGCGGCUCACUGGACCAUAACUGACGCUGAGGCACGAAAGCUAGGGGAGCAAACAGGAUUAGAUACCCCCGUAGUCC